Ictidomys tridecemlineatus (thirteen-lined ground squirrel) is the source of this 1045-nucleotide non-coding RNA. Lineage: Eukaryota; Metazoa; Chordata; Mammalia; Rodentia; Sciuridae. The record is from RefSeq and is a predicted model, not a curated record.
CAGUGUCAGAGCGACAGGUUCAGUCUGCUUUGAUGUCCCUGAUGAACAGGGCAGGAAAGAUGACUGACAGUUCUCUAGCUUCACAUUGAAAUGAAGCUACAUCAGAAAGCAGUCUCAGGGUGGCCAUAGGCUAAGGCGGAGGCAGGAGCUGUGUGGACCGCAGGACAGGACCAUGGGAUCUUAAGCCCUACUGUUUUCAAAGAGCUGUUAUGUACGGAGUGCACAUUGGAAGUCAGGCGAUGUGGUUCAUUUUGAGAAAGCUCCAGGACUGGGAUCUUCUUCCCCGCACAAGGAGCACUGUCCUGGAGGGUGCUAAGCACACUCCAAUGUCCAUAAGCACUGUCUGUCCCUUCUCCGUGGUGUCCACCUCUUGAGGACUUAGGAUAUAGGCACUUUUAAAGAGUAACUAGAAUUGUAAGGACACUACUGAAAUGAUACUAGCCAUAUUUGGGAAAUUAUGUCAGCUUUCAUCUGAUUUAAAAACAAAUAGAAAUUGGAUGGCCUGGCCCGACUUUCCAUCUUCUGCCAGGAACAAGGAAGAGAAAGGUUUUGCCCGUGAGAUAGUGAACAUUUUGGCAAAGAAGAAAGCAAAUAGCAAGUAUGUGUGUGUGUGGGGGGGGGAGUGCUCAUGUACUACAGCUUUUCCAAGAAAAGCUGACACUGAAGCCAUGAUUCCAAUUGAUCUUUUCUGCCAGAAUAAAGAGAUUUCUAGGGGGGGAAAUAUUAUCCAAAUACAGCAGAGAAGCAAAGUCUGGGCUUUUCCCGUAUCUGGCUGUGCUUUGGUUGCUACAGGAAGUCUGGGAGGCACCUGAGGACCACCAACGGUCCACGUAUAUGGUGUGUUCUCAGUUUCAAAAAGAACUCUAAGACCACCUCCUGCAUUUGGCAUUUUCCAGAAGAGGAGCUAUCAAAGCUUCAGGAGAGUUUGUCAUCUCAAAGAAAUAUUCCUGAAGAUGUUGGGUGCUAAUGAAUGACUUUAAAGGCAUGUGUUUACACGGAGCAAACCACUACAAAAUAUGAUGAAUAAAUGCAAUUCAAAUCGUUA